Non-coding RNA from Notechis scutatus (mainland tiger snake), 577 nucleotides. The record is from RefSeq and is a predicted model, not a curated record. Lineage: Eukaryota; Metazoa; Chordata; Lepidosauria; Squamata; Elapidae.
UCAAAGCACAGAAUAUUUUCAGGAGUGAAAAGGGAUCCUGGCCUGAACUAACCAACUUGGUCUCCUGUUCUGGGCCCUCCUGUGCCUCUCAUGCACCUCCUUUUCUUCCUUCCCUCCAGCCAAGCCCACUGUCACCAUCUCCCCCACCAAGAUUGAUCCCGCUUCCCCCAACACCAUCCUCCUCUGCACCGCCAGGGGCUUUUACCCCCUGGAGAUCGAGAUCCAGUGGCUGAAGAACGGGAAGCUGGAGGAGGAGGGCGUGGCCUUCGGGGAGGAGCUCCAGAACGGAGACUGGACCUACCAGCUCCAGGUGAUGCUGGAGACCCAGCCCCAGCGGGGGGACGUCUACACUUGCCAGGUGGGGCAUGUCAGCCUGGAGGCCCCCAUCACCGUCCAGUGGGAGCCCCGUUCCUCCAGCUCUGCCAGGAGCAAACUGUGGACAGGGAUCAUGGGGGCCGUGAUUGGAGCGGCCUUCCUGGCAGUGGGGCUCUUCUCCUACCUGAAGAGCAAGAAAGCCACUCCCAUCCAACCUCCUGCAGGUGAGUUUCUCCUCUUCCUCCCUCAUCUCAGCCUCUCC